UAGCCUAGUGGUUAAGGCUAUGGAUCGCCAAUUCGGAGAUAGCGGGUUCGAUUCCCGU
Aedes albopictus (Asian tiger mosquito) is the source of this 58-nucleotide non-coding RNA. The record is from Rfam. NCBI's taxonomy places the organism in Eukaryota, Metazoa, Arthropoda, Insecta, Diptera, Culicidae.